Long non-coding RNA from Nicotiana tabacum (common tobacco), 525 nucleotides. RefSeq lists it as uncharacterized. The record is from RefSeq and is a predicted model, not a curated record. Lineage: Eukaryota; Viridiplantae; Streptophyta; Magnoliopsida; Solanales; Solanaceae.
ACAGUUGAGGAGCUUGGGGUCAUCAGGGCAUUUUCGGAAGACCGUAAAUGUUUUGGCCUAAGGCACGUGCUAAACCCUACCUUAAUUUUGACACGUUCCCUUACACCUCUCAAAUGAACAUCUGUACUGCUUCCUCCGGCUUUGCACAGCCUCACUAUUCAUUUUCCCAGCUGCUCAACUCCUUUUACAAUUUCCUUUAUCUCUCUUCCUGCACAGUUUAUUUGCAUUCAUUGUACAGUUACAAGGAGUUGAUGAUAACAAGGCCAAACGAUAUGAAAUGUAUCACGAUAUGGACACGGUAGAAAAGAACGCACUUCUGUUGAAACAUCGCCUAAAAAAAGGCACAACUAAUCGUCUUCUUGCAAUUCCAAAUUCUGUCAAUCCUGUUGAAUCAACAUUUGUAAUUCAGAGUAAUCUUGUUGUUGAUGGUUUUAUUAUGCAUAUGUGCUACCUUCUACUUUCGCCAAUUCGGAUGAUUUGUAUUACAGACAUGUGCUAAGACUUAUUCUACUUUUGCAUUUUUCA